AGACCCGAAACCCGGUGAUCUAGCCAUGGGCAGGUUGAAGGUUGGGUAACACUAACUGGAGGACCGAACCGACUAAUGUUGAAAAAUUAGCGGAUGACCUGUGGCUGGGGGUGAAAGGCCAAUCAAACCGGGAGAUAGCUGGUUCUCCCCGAAAGCUAUUUAGGUAGCGCCUCGUGAAUUCAUCUCCGGGGGUAGAGCACUGUUUCGGCUAGGGGGCCAUCCCGGCUUACCAACCCGAUGCAAACUGCGAAUACCGGAGAAUGUUAUCACGGGAGACACACGGCGGGUGCUAACGUCCGUCGUGAAGAGGGAAACAACCCAGACCGCCAGCUAAGGUCCCAAAGUCAUGGUUAAGUGGGAAACGAUGUGGGAAGGCCCAGACAGCCAGGAUGUUGGCUUAGAAGCAGCCAUCAUUUAAAGAAAGCGUAAUAGCUCACUGGUCGAGUCGGCCUGCGCGGAAGAUGUAACGGGGCUAAACCAUGCACCGAAGCUGCGGCAGCGAACGUAUCACUUAAAGCGAUUCAGCGGGUUACGAUUGACGGAGCGAAGCGACGUCAAAGCGUAUACAAAGUCGAGUCG
This 579-nucleotide ribosomal RNA is filed under the name Salmonella enterica subsp. enterica serovar Virchow. RNAcentral describes it as "partial 23S ribosomal RNA". It matches the Rfam family "Bacterial large subunit ribosomal RNA", at positions 711 to 1231 of the family's 2925-position model. The record is from RNAcentral. Lineage: Bacteria; Pseudomonadati; Pseudomonadota; Gammaproteobacteria; Enterobacterales; Enterobacteriaceae.